Molecule: long non-coding RNA, 987 nt
Organism: Gadus morhua (Atlantic cod)
Lineage: Eukaryota; Metazoa; Chordata; Actinopteri; Gadiformes; Gadidae
Exons: 2
Source: RefSeq, a predicted model, not a curated record
CCCCCCCUCCCUCUAUGUCCCCUCCUCCUCCUCCUCCUCCUCCUCCUCACGUCCUCCUCCUCCUCCUCCUCACCUCCUUGUUCUUCGAGUUGAAGGACCGUCAUCUUGACUCUGUUUUCAUUGGUUGGUUUUGCAAGAUGACAGAUGAAGCGUCCUGCUCCCCGUGCACCUCCUCGUCUGGAGCACCUCCUCGUCUGGAGCACCUCCUCGUCUGGAGCACCUCCUCGUCUGGAGCACCUCCUCGUCUAGGUGCACCUCCUCGUCUAGGUGCACCUCCUCGUCUAGGUGCACCUCCUCGUCUAGGAGCACCUCCUCGUCUAGGUGCACCUCCUCGUCUAGGUGCACCUCCUCGUCUAGGUGCACCUCCUCGUCUGGAGCACCUCCUCGUCUGGAGCACCUCCUCGUCUGGAGCACCUCCUCACGCCCCAGCUCUGCCAAAGUCAAUAUAAAGGAAUGAUAACUCCAAAGCUCUGAGACAGGUGUCUUGUCUGCAGCCUGUCGGUCUGUCUGUCUGUCUCUCUGUCCGUCUCUCCGUCUCUCUGUCUGUCUGUCUGUCUGUCUGUCUGUCUGUCUGUGUGCCUUCCUGUCCGCCCGCUCUUAAAUCAUUCAGGAUUUUGCACUGAGGAUUUCAUAGGAUUGUAUUUAUUUGGACAGGAAGUGGAGGCACCACAAGCCUUGUUAAGCUAUGCAUUCAUAUCCUCCUUGCUGAGCACUGUUGGUGUCCCACGCGACCAGAGAGCAGGAGGGAAGGGUUCCCUCCCCCUGACCCCAGAGCAGCGUUCUGCCGGGUCGCUGCCUUAUUUUGAUCUUGAAUGUAAACGCUACUCAAUCUGAACCCGCCUAGAUCAGCUCGCCUUUUUUUUUAAGAACACUGUUGAUGUCGACUUGAUGAUGGCAUUACAUCACGCACACAUGCUGGAACCUGGAUGAAAUGUAUUGAUCUAACCGAGGAAACGUUGCAAUAAAACCAGUGACCGAUACGAGAAA